GAUGCCACGUGCAUAAAGACAGCCCUCUGGGUCGUAAACGGCUUUCAUUCGGGAAUAAACCUACUUACGUGUAAGUAGCUGAAUGUACCGAUGGAAUAUGGAUCGGGGUAACUCCGUGCCAGCAGACGGGGUAAUACGGAGGAUCCAAGCGUGAUCCGGAUUUAUUGGGUUUAAAGGGUGCGUAGGCGGCUUAUUAAGUCAGGGGUGAAAGACGGUGGCUCAACCAUCGCAGUGCCCUUGAUACUGAUGAGCUUGAAUACACUAGAGGUAGGCGGAAUGUGACAAGUAGCGGUGAAAUGCAUAGAUAUGUCACAGAACACCGAUUGCGAAGGCAGCUUACUAUGGUGUCAUUGACGCUGAGGCACGAAAGCGUGGGGAUCAAACAGGAUUAGAUACCCUGGUAGUCCACGCCCUAAACGAUGAAUACUCGCUGUUAGCGAUACACAGUUAGCGGCUAAGCGAAAGCGUUAAGUAUUCCACCUGGGGAGUACGGUCGCAAGAUUGAAACUCAAA
This 513-nucleotide ribosomal RNA is filed under the name uncultured prokaryote. Its description in RNAcentral is "bacterial SSU rRNA". It matches the Rfam family "Bacterial small subunit ribosomal RNA", at positions 393 to 905 of the family's 1533-position model. The record is from RNAcentral.